GGGGGCAGGCUGGAUCCUGGGCUGUGUCCCCGGCGCCCUGGGCUCCCGGGCCUGCGCUGUUGAAUUUGUGCUUCCGGAGCUGCGCAGCCCCCU
RNAcentral lists this microRNA precursor (93 nucleotides) under Canis lupus familiaris (dog). Its description in RNAcentral is "mir-8799 microRNA precursor family". It matches the Rfam family "mir-8799 microRNA precursor family". The record is from Rfam by way of RNAcentral. RNAcentral also lists the same sequence under 1 other name. Lineage: Eukaryota; Metazoa; Chordata; Mammalia; Carnivora; Canidae.